Molecule: long non-coding RNA, 623 nt
Filed under: Fukomys damarensis (Damara mole-rat)
Lineage: Eukaryota; Metazoa; Chordata; Mammalia; Rodentia; Bathyergidae
Description: lncRNA (ENSFDAG00000028904.1)
Source: RNAcentral
CUGUUGUUCAAAAGGUAGUUUCUGUUUUGUAGGAUACACAGGUUCCGGGAGCUGUUGCAUGACGAUGUGAACAGACUCAGCGCUAUGCUUAACAGUGGUUAUGAUGAAAAUCCUCUGAACAGUCUAUGGCUUUUAAUAAUUCAUGUGAGUUUUAUAACCACAAAGAAAACAUUAAUUUUUAAAAUAAAGACAAGGGACCUAGAUUCCGGGCACUUGAAACUUGCCUCACUCUAAUACAAAACCUUAAUUAAACGGAGAAACAGCCUCCCGAACCCUUCACCGCGCUUCCCUUUUGGCGGACGGGGAUGUCUGUGGUCACCCGGAGUUUGGAGCCAGCGCCCAGGUGCUUUACUCGAAGUGUCCACAAGGUGGCAGGCCAGGCACUUGGAUCCGGGCAGCCAAGGCGCGCGCAGCCGCAGCCGCAGCCGGGCGCCCGGGGCAGUUCGCUGAGGGGAUGUGAAGGUACCUCAGGCUCUGGCGAGCUUCGGGCGUGCCGAGGGGACAGCGUCGGAUUCCCGCUGAUGCCUGCGCUAGAGCCGAAGCCCGAGGCUGUAGGUUCAUAGUUGGAAAGCUGGAAGAUGAUUUCCUUUGGAGACAUCAGAAGGCUGGGGAUGGUGCUGGAG